Non-coding RNA from Nemania sp. FL0916, 81 nucleotides. NCBI's taxonomy places the organism in Eukaryota, Fungi, Ascomycota, Sordariomycetes, Xylariales, Xylariaceae. The record is from the annotation of a GenBank genome assembly.
GGCAGUGUGGCUGAGUGGUUAUAGCGCUUGACUAGAAAUCAAGUCCCUUCGGGGUCACAGGUUCGAGUCCUGUCACUGUCG